Molecule: ribosomal RNA, 426 nt
Filed under: uncultured bacterium
Lineage: Bacteria
Description: bacterial SSU rRNA
Rfam family: Bacterial small subunit ribosomal RNA
Source: RNAcentral
UCGGGAAUUUUGGGCAAUGGGCGAAAGCCUGACCCAGCAACGCCGCGUGAAGGAUGAAAUCCCUCGGGAUGUAAACUUCGCAAGAAUGGGAAGAAUUAGUAGGGGUUAAUACCCCCUAUGAUGACGGUACCAUUUGUAAGCUCCGGCUAACUCCGUGCCAGCAGCCGCGGUAAUACGGGGGGAGCAAGCGUUGUUCGGAUUUACUGGGCGUAAAGGGCGCGUAGGCGGCCAGCACAAGUCGGUUGUGAAAUCUCCGGGCUUAACUCGGAAAGGUCAACCGAUACUGUGCGGCUAGAGUGCGGAAGGGGCAACUGGAAUUCUCGGUGUAGCGGUGAAAUGCGUAGAUAUCGAGAGGAACACCUGCGGCGAAGGCGGGUUGCUGGGCCGACACUGACGCUGAUGCGCGAAAGCCAGGGGAGCGAACGG